RNAcentral lists this ribosomal RNA (322 nucleotides) under Desmozoon lepeophtherii. RNAcentral's name for it is "eukaryotic LSU rRNA". It matches the Rfam family "Archaeal large subunit ribosomal RNA", at positions 163 to 512 of the family's 2987-position model. The record is from RNAcentral. Lineage: Eukaryota; Fungi; Microsporidia; Enterocytozoonidae.
AACGCCCUGAACUUAAGCAUAUCAGUAAGGGCAGGAAAAGAAACCAACUGGGAUUCCACUAGUAGCGGCGAGUGAACAUGGAUGAGCUCUAAUGGUAAAGUGCAAGCACUGUUGUAAGAGCACUGCUAGCUAGAUCUGCUGGAAUGCAGAGCACAUGCGGGUGACAGCCCCGGACAGCAACAGCAGUGCGGUAGAGCGAGUAGCGUUGCUUGGUAGUGCAAUGUGAACGGGAGGUAGUAGCUUCCAAGGCUAAAUAUACCCAGAGAUCGAUAGCAAAUAAGUAGCGCGAGCGAAGUGUGAAAAACGUCAUUUGGACAGUGAA